This 1614-nucleotide ribosomal RNA is filed under the name Glaesserella parasuis. RNAcentral describes it as "partial 23S ribosomal RNA". It matches the Rfam family "Bacterial large subunit ribosomal RNA", at positions 167 to 1779 of the family's 2925-position model. The record is from RNAcentral. Lineage: Bacteria; Pseudomonadati; Pseudomonadota; Gammaproteobacteria; Pasteurellales; Pasteurellaceae.
AGACUAUGAGGAGGGCACCUGGGGAACUGAAACAUCUAAUUACCCAGAGGAAAAGUAAUCAAACGAGAUUUUCUUAGUAGCGGCGAGCGAACGGGAAAGAGGCCAAACCGGAGCGGGCAACCGCACCGGGGUUGAGGACAGUCAUCAAGUGUAAAUGAGGUAGAAGAAUCGAGUUGGAAAACUCAGCCGCAGAAGGUGAAAGCCCUGUAAUCGAAACCUUGCAUACAUGGGACUGUAUCCAGAGUACCACGAGACACGUGAAACCUUGUGGGAAGCAGGGGGGACCACCCUCCAAGCCAAAAUACUGAUAUCGACCGAUAGCGCAUAGUACCGUGAGGGAAAGGUGAAAAGAACCCCUGGCGGGGAGUGAAAGAGAACCUGAAACCGUAUGUCUACAAACAGUCGAAGUCUGUAUAUAUAUCAGGACGACGGCGUGCCUAUUGAAGAAUGAACCGACGAGUUACUGUUGCUAGCGAGGUUAAGUGGAAAACAUGGAGCCGCAGCGAAAGCGAGUCUGAACAGGGCGUUCAGUUAGUGAUAGUAGACCCGAAACCGUAGUGAUCUAUCCAUGGCCAGGUUGAAGCACAGGUAAAAUUGUGUGGAGGACCGAACUCGUGAGCGUUGAAAAGCUUUGGGAUGAGUUGUGGAUAGGGGUGAAAUGCCAAUCGAACACGGAGAUAGCUGGUUCUCCCCGAAAUAGCUUUAGGGCUAGCCUCGAGGUUGAGAGUAUAGGCGGUAGAGCACUGAUCGGGCUAGGGGCCAUACCGGUUACCGAACCUAGUCAAACUACGAAUGGCUAUACUUAUACUCGGGAGUCAGACAGUGAAUGAUAAGGUCCAUUGUCAAGAGGGAAACAGCCCAGAACACCGACUAAGGUCCCAAAUGUUACACUAAGUGGCGAAGGAUGUGGAAUUUCCAAAACAACCAGGAUGUUGGCUUAGAAGCAGCCACCAUUUAAAGAGUGCGUAAUAGCUCACUGGUCGAGAGACUCUGCGCCGAAGAUGUCCGGGGCUAAAGUGUAAAACCGACGUCGUGUCAUAUGCAGCAAUGUAUAUGGGUAGGGGAGCGUUCUCAUCGGGCUGAAGCAGUACCGUAAGGAGUUGUGGACUGAUGAGAAGUGAGAAUGUCGGUAUGAGUAGCGAAAAGAAUGGUGAGAAUCCAUUCCACCGAAAGCCUAAGGGUUCCUGAGCAACGAUCGUCGUCUCAGGGUAAGUCGGGACCUAAGCCGAGGCGGAAAAGCGUAGGCGAUGGACAACAGGUUGAAAUUCCUGUACCGGUGUGAAUCGUUUGAUCGAAGGAGUGACACAGUAAGGUAGGUCAGCACGCGAUUGGAAGUGCGUGUUUAAGCAGGUAGGUUGAGCUAUAGGCAAAUCCGUAGCUCUAAAAGCUGAGAUGUGAUGACGAGUUACUAGCGAUAGUAACGAAGUGAUUGAUCCUACACUGUCGAGAAAAGCUUCUAGGUAGAGACACAUCGCCCGUACCAAAACCGACACAGGUAGGCGGGGAGAGAAUCCUAAGGUGCGCGGGGAAACCCUCGUUAAGGAACUCGGCAAAAUGCCUCCGUAACUUCGGGAAAAGGAGGACUCAUGUAGUGUGAAGGGCAGUAACGCGUGG